GGAGGGCUGGCCGAGCGGUCGAUGGCGGUUGACUUGAAAUCAAUUGUGGGGAGACCCACCGCGGGUUCGAAUCCUGCGCCCUCCGCCA
This 88-nucleotide transfer RNA is filed under the name Synergistaceae bacterium. Its description in RNAcentral is "tRNA-Ser". It matches the Rfam family "tRNA". Rfam says of the family: Transfer RNA (tRNA) molecules are approximately 80 nucleotides in length. The record is from RNAcentral. Lineage: Bacteria; Thermotogati; Synergistota; Synergistia; Synergistales; Synergistaceae.